Molecule: transfer RNA, 83 nt
Filed under: Clostridia bacterium
Lineage: Bacteria; Bacillati; Bacillota; Clostridia
Description: tRNA-Leu
Rfam family: tRNA
About the family: Transfer RNA (tRNA) molecules are approximately 80 nucleotides in length. Their secondary structure includes four short double-helical elements and three loops (D, anti-codon, and T loops). Further hydrogen bonds mediate the characteristic L-shaped molecular structure. tRNAs have two regions of fundamental functional importance: the anti-codon, which is responsible for specific mRNA codon recognition, and the 3' end, to which the tRNAs corresponding amino acid is attached (by aminoacyl-tRNA synthetases). tRNAs cope with the degeneracy of the genetic code in two manners: having more than one tRNA (with a specific anti-codon) for a particular amino acid; and 'wobble' base-pairing, i.e. permitting non-standard base-pairing at the 3rd anti-codon position.
Source: RNAcentral
GCGGAUAUGGCGAAACUGGCAGACGCGCAGGACUUAGAAUCCUGUGGGCAACCGUGCAGGUUCAAGUCCUGUUAUCCGCACCA